UGAGGAAUAUUGGGCAAUGCCCGCAAGGGUGACCCAGCAACGCCGCGUGGAGGAUGAAUGUCGUAAGAUUGUAAACUCCUGUUAGAGGGGAAGAAUAGUACCGGUUGGACCGGUAUAUGACUGUACCCUCAGAGAAAGCCCCGGCUAACUACGUGCCAGCAGCCGCGGUAAUACGGAGGGUGCAAGCGUUAUCCGGAUUCACUGGGUUUAAAGGGUGCGUAGGCGGGCAGGUAAGUCAGUGGUGAAAUCUUCCGGCUUAACCGGAAAACUGCCGUUGAUACUAUUUGUCUUGAAUAUUGCGGAGGUAAGCGGAAUAUGUCAUGUAGCGGUGAAAUGCAUAGAUAUGACAUGGAACACCAAUUGCGAAGGCAGCUUACUACACAAUGAUUGACGCUGAUGCACGAAAGCGUGGGGAGCGAACA
This 422-nucleotide ribosomal RNA is filed under the name uncultured bacterium. RNAcentral describes it as "bacterial SSU rRNA". It matches the Rfam family "Bacterial small subunit ribosomal RNA", at positions 355 to 774 of the family's 1533-position model. The record is from RNAcentral.